AUUGAACGCUGGCGGCAGGCCUAACACAUGCAAGUCGAGCGGAGCGGCGGACGGGUGCGUAAUGCUUAGGAAUCUGCCUGGUAGUGGGGGAUAACGUCAGGUAACGGGCGCUAAUACCGCUACCUAUCAGAUGAGCCUAGGUCGGAUUAGCUAGUUGGUGGGGUAAAGGCCUACCAAGGCGACGAUCCGUAACUGGUCUGAGAGGAUGAUCAGUCACACUGGAACUGAGACACGGUCCAGACUCCUACGGGAGGCAGCAGUGGGGAAUAUUGGACAAUGGGCGAAAGCCUGAUGCAGUCAUGCCGCGUGUGUGAAGAAGGUCUUCGGGUUGUAAAGCACUUUAAGUUGGGAGGCGUUACCAGCAGAAUAAGCACCGGCUAACUUCGUGCCAGCAGCCGCGGUAAUUC
RNAcentral lists this ribosomal RNA (407 nucleotides) under uncultured bacterium. RNAcentral's name for it is "partial 16S ribosomal RNA". It matches the Rfam family "Bacterial small subunit ribosomal RNA", at positions 30 to 526 of the family's 1533-position model. The record is from RNAcentral.